This is a long non-coding RNA of Cyprinus carpio (common carp), 627 nucleotides long. The record is from Ensembl. Lineage: Eukaryota; Metazoa; Chordata; Actinopteri; Cypriniformes; Cyprinidae.
GGAGGAAAGACCCAUAAUUUUACGUUCAGAUGGAAGUGCUUGAUCCUGAAUAUAAACAAGUAUGAAGAAUGGUAGUUAGACUUUAAAGUAAACAUUGAUUCAACCUUACAAACAAUCAUGGCCUUUAAAUACAUCCUCUUAAAUGUUCUCCUAAUCUGUUUCCAGAUGUUUGUUUGAGAGUUUGUGUGUGUGUCUGAGAUCGACGGCCCCCUCAGUCGUCUAAUUCCUGUCUCCGCCUCUACAUGGCUCCACCACCCUCAUUUGCACAAGCACUCUAUCCAUCCUGAGGAAAUAAAAGAGAAGGAGGCCUGGGAGAGUCAUCUCAGCAGCGAGACAGCUGGAGGAAUAGACCCAUCCAUACUUGACGAUGAGGUGGAGCGUACUUCCGUGUUGGAUCGUCACAUUGAUUCCAUUAAUCAGCUCCAGUAUCUACCUAAAAUAGGAAUGCAAACGACAACCACUCAUUCCAUAUGAGCAGCUGCUGGCAACAACAUCUACUUGCAGGAACGGGGGCCCUGGAUCUGUGUCGACCAGAGGCACCGCUGGGGAGAGCUUAUGUGAGUGAAGACUCAUCCCUGCUGUCCUAUCACUCAAUAGUAAGCUCGCUGUUCCUGUACAGAUGAACAG